RNAcentral lists this ribosomal RNA (450 nucleotides) under uncultured bacterium. RNAcentral's name for it is "partial 16S ribosomal RNA". It matches the Rfam family "Bacterial small subunit ribosomal RNA", at positions 354 to 796 of the family's 1533-position model. The record is from RNAcentral.
GUGGGGAAUAUUGGACAAUGGGCGAAAGCCUGAUCCAGCCAUGCCGCGUGUGUGAAGAAGGUCUUCGGAUUGUAAAGCACUUUAAGUUGGGAGGAAGGGCAGUAAGUUAAUACCUUGCUGUUUUGACGUUACCGACAGAAUAAGCACCGGCUAACUUCGUGCCAGCAGCCACGGUAAUACGAAGGGUGCAAGCGUUAAUCGGAAUUACUGGGCGUAAAGCGCGCGUAGGUGGUUCAGCAAGUUGAAGGUGAAAUCCCCGGGCUCAACCUGGGAACUGCCUCCAAAACUACUGAGCUAGAGUACGGUAGAGGGUAGUGGAAUUUCCUGUGUAGCGGUGAAAUGCGUAGAUAUAGGAAGGAACACCAGUGGCGAAGGCGACUACCUGGACUGAUACUGACACUGAGGUGCGAAAGCGUGGGGAGCAAACAGGAUUAGAAACCCCGGUAGUCC